RNAcentral lists this ribosomal RNA (253 nucleotides) under uncultured bacterium. Its description in RNAcentral is "partial 16S ribosomal RNA". It matches the Rfam family "Bacterial small subunit ribosomal RNA", at positions 524 to 776 of the family's 1533-position model. The record is from RNAcentral.
UACGAAGGGGGCUAGCGUUGCUCGGAAUCACUGGGCGUAAAGCGCACGUAGGCGGUUUGUUAAGUCAGGGGUGAAAUCCUGGAGCUCAACUCCAGAACUGCCUUUGAUACUGGCGAUCUCGAGUCCGGGAGAGGUGAGUGGAACUGCGAGUGUAGAGGUGAAAUUCGUAGAUAUUAGGAAGAACACCAGUGGCGAAGGCGGCUCACUGGCCCGGUACUGACGCUGAGGCGCGAAAGCGUGGGGAGCAAACAGG